This 467-nucleotide ribosomal RNA is filed under the name uncultured bacterium. Its description in RNAcentral is "partial 16S ribosomal RNA". It matches the Rfam family "Bacterial small subunit ribosomal RNA", at positions 28 to 507 of the family's 1533-position model. The record is from RNAcentral.
GACGAACGCUGGCGGCGUGCUUAACACAUGCAAGUCGAACGGAAAGGCCCUGCUUUUGUGGGGUGCUCGAGUGGCGAACGGGUGAGUAACACGUGAGUAACCUGCCCUUGUCUUUGGGAUAACUUCAGGAAACUGGGGCUAAUACCGGAUAGGAGCUCUUGAUGCAUGGUGGGGGUUGGAAAGUUGCGGCGGUUGGGGAUGGAGUCGCGGCUUAUCAGCUUGUUGGUGGGGUAGUGGAUUACCAAGGCUUGGACGGGUAGCCGGCCUGGAAGGGUGACCGGCUCCAGAGGACUGGGGGAGGGAGCAGUAGGCAAUCGGGAGCAAUGGGCGGGAGUCUUACGGAACAGGGCGGAGGCAGGGAGGAGGACCGCCGGGUCGGGAAACCCGGCUUUUGGGUAAGAACCGCUUUCGCAUGUGACGAAGCGUGAGUGACGGUAAUGGGUAAAGAAGCACCGGCUAACUACGUG